CUACCAUGCAGUCGACGGGGAUUCAGAGGAAAGGUACUCGUACCUCGGAAUUUGAAUUCUAGUGGCGGACGGGUGAGUAACACGUGAGCAACCUGCCUUGAUCAGGGGGAUAACAACGGGAAACCGUUGCUAAUACCGCAUAAUAUGCCGUUGGGGCAUCCCAGUGGCAUCAAAGGAGUAAUCCGGAUUGAGAUGGGCUCGCGUCCGAUUAGUUAGUUGGUGAGGUGACGGCUCACCAAGACUGCGAUCGGUAGCCGGACUGAGAGGUUGACCGGCCACAUUGGGACUGAGACACGGCCCAGACUCCUACGGGAGGCAGCAGUGGGGAAUAUUGGGCAAUGGGGGAAACCCUGACCCAGCGACGCCGCGUGAAGGAUGAAGGCCUUCGGGUUGUAAACUUCUUUGAUCGGGGACGAUAAUGACGGUACCCGAGGAACAAGCCACGGCUAACUACGUGCCAGCAGCCGCGGUAAUACGUAGUGCAAGCGUUAUCCGGAUUUACUGGGUGUAAAGGGCGUGUAAGGCGGGUUUUCAAGUCAGAUGUGAAAAAGGCAAGGCUCAACUGUGCUCUGUCAUCGG
RNAcentral lists this ribosomal RNA (579 nucleotides) under uncultured bacterium. RNAcentral describes it as "bacterial SSU rRNA". It matches the Rfam family "Bacterial small subunit ribosomal RNA", at positions 49 to 629 of the family's 1533-position model. The record is from RNAcentral.